AUUCCAGCUCCAAUAGCGUAUACUAAAGUUGUUGCAGUUAAAAAGCUCGUAGUUGAAUUUCUGGAUGCGAAAGAUGGUCGGCACCUCACGGUGUCUGUACUUUUCAUUCGCGUCCAUCCUCGGGAGGAACGUGUGGGGCUUUAAGUAGUUCUGCUCGGGAAUCUCGUCAUUUACUGUGAGCAAAAUAGAGUGUUCAAAGCAGGCUUAUGCCGUUGAAUAUAUUAGCAUGGAAUAAUAAGAUACGACUUUGGUCUAUUUUGUUGGUUUGCAUUCCAAAGUAAUGAUUAAUAGGGAUAGUUGGGGGUAUUCGUAUUCAAUUGUCAGAGGUGAAAUUCUUGGAUUUAUGGAAGACGAACUACUGCGAAAGCAUUUACCAAGGAUGUUUUCAUUG
Molecule: ribosomal RNA, 391 nt
Filed under: Chrysophyceae sp.
Lineage: Eukaryota; Chrysophyceae
Description: partial small subunit ribosomal RNA
Rfam family: Eukaryotic small subunit ribosomal RNA
Source: RNAcentral